UAGAAUGUCAACUGUCAACAUAUUGUCAAUUAUAUUUGAGUAGUCUUGACAACAGCUUGUUUUCAAUAGGUUAUAAACCUACAUCAAACUAUCGCGAAAUUAUUUACUUUCUUCAUAACUCAGAGAAAAGUCAUUCUAAGCAGUAGUCUUUUGUUUUUCAAGAAGUGGAAUCCGUUCGUAUUCUCCGUAAUAAGAUAUUGUCACCGCUAACGUGUGAAAGUAAUCCCGAACUAUGCGUCUUAUAAUUCUCGAAGAUGCCAGCAUCGUUGCCGACUGGGCCGCCAGAUUCGUUCUCCAGCGGAUCACGCAGUUCGCUCCGGGUCCGGGAAGACACUUCGUGCUGGGCCUGCCCACCGGUGGGACGCCCCUCGGCAUGUACAAACGGUUGAUAGAGUUCCACAAGGAAGGGAAGUUAUCUUUCAAAUAUGUGACCACUUUCAACAUGGACGAGUAUGUGGGUCUUCCCCGUGACCAUCCCGAGUCCUACCACUACUACAUGUGGAACGAGUUCUUCAAACACAUCGACAUAGAGCCGAGCAACGCGCACGUGCUCGACGGCAACGCAUCCGAUUUAGUGCUCGAGUGUCAACGCUUUGAGAAACUCAUACAGGAGGCUGGCGGAGUGCAUUUGUUCAUCGGAGGUAUCGGUCCGGACGGUCACAUCGCGUUCAACGAACCGGGCUCCUCGCUGGUGUCUCGGACGCGAGUGAAGACCCUGGCCUACGACACCCUGGACGCCAACAAGCGGUUCUUUGACAACGACAUCAGCAAGGUGCCCCGACAGGCGCUCACCGUUGGAGUCGGAACUGUUAUGGACGCUAAAGAGGUCAUGAUCCUCAUAACAGGAGUGCACAAGUCCUUGGCGCUUGCCAAGGCUGUGGAGGAAGGCGUGAACCACAUGUGGACGGUGUCGGCCUUCCAGCAACAUCCUCAAGCGCUUUUCGUGUGUGACGAAGACGCCACACUCGAGUUGAGGGUCAAAACAGUUAAAUACUUUAAGGUUAGUGGCGCUUUUUUUUCUUUGUCUUAUUAUUAUCAUAAAAGGUAAGUUUGUAGGGUAACUAUGUAGUUACAUAAAUAAAUUUUUAUGGAUAUAUCGAUGAUUGAGAAAUUAUAUUAAUUUUUAAUAUUGUCUACUUUUGUGACAAACAUCAUUUAUAUAUAGUUAGCAAUGACGCACCGUGCGCAAGCACUACGGGUGGCCCCCGCGCGCGCGCACAUCACCCGCGUUUUCCAAUCGAUCGGCCGGCCAGUCCGUAACCUGUCUUGUCGUCGGAUGCAUGUCGUAUUUUACUUGCUAACCCGCUUCGCAGUGCUUGCGCAUAGUUUGCUUAACGUUUAAGUCUAGUUUAAAUUUGAAUACAUAUACGCUUUAAGUUCUUCGUUGUUAGCCAUUAAAUUUAGUAUUGAAAACAAGAAUAAAUAUGUAAAUGAUUAAUUAAAGAAAUAAUAAUAAUUUUUUUGACGUUAAGUGUGAUUGAUGUAAGUGGCAACCCAGGUUCACGUUGAAAAUAUGUGACCCUUCGCUAGUUUUGUAAUAUGGCUGCCCUUAGUACAAAUCCAGGUAUUAAUCAAAAAUAUCUAUUAGGAUAGGAUAUCUACUAACAUAGGAUGGUGCAAACAUACAAUACUCUCUAUCCCCAAUAUAUAAAUAAAUAAUUAAAUCUAAAAUCAUGUUUUUCCUUUACAUUGCAAAUGCUAUGUAUAAAUAAUUAAAAAAAAAAGGAGGGGAUGAAAAGGCAAAGGCUUUAACUAAUGCUAUUCGGUAUAGAUAAUUGUAAAUGUUAGUUGCACUAUACUUAGUUAUUAUCUACGUCGCAAAGGACUUUUUGACGGGAACGCGAGGAGUGAAGUUGUGUAAUUUGUUUUAUUUUGUCUAUUUAGUGUUUCUUCGGGUUUAAAUGUGUAAUAAUGGUGGUUUAUUAACCAUUUAAUAUCUGUGAAAGUGCCAAAUGUGGGAAAAUGAAAUAAAGCCGCUGGACGUAACUUCUCGGGAUCCUCCAAAAAAUCCACUGAAAAAAUCUUAGUAAAUGACCACCAUUUUACUGAGAUUAGAUUUCAUCUCAUAUCAUCUCAUUUAAUUUAAUCCCAGUUGAUUAAUGUCUCAAAUUAAUCAUUUUCAUUUCAUUUCACUCCAUAAUAUCAUUUUUCAUAAAAUUAAGAAUAUUCAUUAAAAUAAGACAUGACUUAAAGGUCUCAGUAACCAGGUCAUAAAAUCUCUUUAAAAAAAAUACGUCGCAAAGAAAAUUUAAAAUUUGGUUAAUGCAUGUUUUCUUGCAUAAUAGACUAAUAAUUUUUUUUAUUAAUUAACUGUAAGCUAUUGGGAGCACGGUUUGUAUGCGCGGGGUACACUCAGUCCACUAAUUUCUGUAAUAGCUUCGGUGAUUGCUAAACUCUUAUGGAGUAGAAUAAUCCACGCAAUUGUUUCUAAAAAAAUUCAAUAGAUUUGGGAUAACUAAAAACAGUUUUUGGGGCGCGAUUAAUUUUAGAUUAUCUAUGAAAUCUAUUUCUUCUGGCUUUUGUAAAAUAUUUUUGGUAUAUAAAAAAAUACAAUACAUAUAUUAUAUGCAUAUUUCAUUACGAAUGUUUUUUGCCUGUGUAACGAGUUUAAUUUAGCAAUUAUAACGAGUUUAAUGGUGGAACACAAUAAACUGAUAGAAGCAAAACAAUGAGACACAUUCCAUAUUUAGUUCUAAGGACAUGGUGAAAAACAUUAUGCUUGUAUAUUGUACCUAUGUAUCAUUUAUAUAAUAAAAACAAUGCGGUUACCUAAUUAAAA
Molecule: RNA transcript, 2779 nt
Organism: Bombyx mori (domestic silkworm)
Lineage: Eukaryota; Metazoa; Arthropoda; Insecta; Lepidoptera; Bombycidae
Gene: Oscillin
Gene name: glucosamine-6-phosphate isomerase 2
Exons: 6
Source: RefSeq, a predicted model, not a curated record